Long non-coding RNA from Oreochromis aureus, 4488 nucleotides. NCBI's taxonomy places the organism in Eukaryota, Metazoa, Chordata, Actinopteri, Cichliformes, Cichlidae. The record is from Ensembl.
GCGUUUUCACGUUGAGCAUGUUGGACUGGAAACAUCCCGCCCCUCUUUGACGAACCCGAAGCUCUGAGUCGAGGUGCCAAGAGCGAGUGAAGUUGUCGAUGAUGAUUUUGUGCGGCUUUUACAGCAAGAUGGAUUAUUUGUAUGUUUCACAGUUUAAUGAGGGCUCGCAGUGUUUGACAGUUCUCCAACUUAACAGAGAGAUGUGCCCAAAAGGAUGACAUUCUGUAAACUCCGAGUGUUAAACGGCGCUGUGGCGGUUCUUUGGCUCCGGGGCUCAUUUACGAGAGCGUCGCUUUAAAGCAGCGGUCCUAUUUGUUUAAUAGAGCCAUCCAAUUUCCCUGCGGGAUGCCUGCGAGGUGCCGUCAGCGCUUCAAUGUGUCAAUACUGACUGGUGAGGAAAACAAGAAAACCACCUGCCUGCUGCUCUGGUUAUUGCGCAAACACGCACACAUUCCCUCUCUCUGUCUCUCAGACACACACACCAUCCAGCGUUUUGCUGAUUCAUAACUGGGCAGUCACAUCAUUGUGUGUAUGACACACACAGUUCAAAGAGCGUCCUAUUUUGGCCGCCGUCUCACCCAGAAAGGGGAAGUACUUCAAUAUUUUAAUGCGAGAGGCUCUUCCGGAGUUGCUCUCCAAGUGUUCCCAGAAGCAGCUGAUACAAAAGGCUGUCCAGACCCAAAUCCGAUCAGCAGAACAGACAAGAAAACCCCUAAAGACGCUCUGCUGGAAGCGAAUGCAUGCUGCAGACGCCUAUGGGCUUCAAAUCAGCAAACAGCACUGGAAUGACGCACCCCUGGCUAAAAGGCAGAAGCGGAAGAAGAAAAGCAGAGAGGCUGUGAUGUAACUACAGCACUGGACUCAGCGCAGAUGGGAGCAGACGGACGGACGGCAGCGAGGAUGACAUCACUGUUACCCGUGGGAGCCUGGGCCUGUCAUUCUUGGUGUCACUUCCUGGGAGAGAAUAGAAGAGGAAGCCAGAGCGAGAGCCGACAACGGGCGCUCCCCUCACCUCCACAAGGAAGCCUUUUUCCCCCGAGAGCAUAAUGUGUGUCCGCUUGUGUCCCUCGCUCACUCCUGCAUUCAUCCCACAGAGGGCUGGUGCUGGUUCAGAAUUUGUGUAAGCCCUGAUUGUUUUCAUUUUCUUUGGGCUCAAGUCUGAGCCUUUUCCAACAAAUCCUUUGAAGAGCUUAUUAUUUUACAUUUCAACGGUAGUUAAAAUAAGUCACAGUGGUGACUUUAUGGGUACGGAUGCAGUAAGCUGUGCCUCUGCAGGCUUUAUUUUGCUGCCCUGGGUCAGCAGUGUUUGGGGAAAAGCUCCGUUUGGAGGGAUAAAAAAACGUGGAGGCCACAGUGACGUCACCUGAUGGUGUUGGACUCUGGGUCGGGGUGAGGCUCGAUCCCUAGCAUUUUGGCCACUGCCACACUUUGUUUCUAUGCUGGAGUUUUCCCAUAUUGGACAAAAGGGGCGAGUGAUACAUUAAAGGUAAUCCUAGCAAGGUUAGCAAGCUGCAUGUGUAGCUUGCAUGGGUCCAGUGGACGCACAUCAUUUCUAAUUAGUCCUUUCCCUGAAUGGUGUAAGCCUCACAUAUUUGUCAGGUGAUUCUGUUUAACUCCAAAAGGCUCCAACAGGAACAGUCCAGUUUGACUCCAGUCUGCACAGAGCCCUCAGUUAACCCCUCAACAUCCACUCGUGUCACCAGAUCAACGAUUAUUCGUAUUGCUGUUUGUUGAUAUUGUGUUACUGUUGUAAAAUGCAGUGACGUGGCUGAAACUACAGCGAGUCAUCAGAAAGAUCAAUGAGCUUCUCUUCCUGUUGGAGUGUUCACAGACAAGAUAAUGGCUGAAAUAAGUUAGUAAGCUCUAUUUAAAUGCCAGCUCGUCAUGAACUUUGAUUUUCUUUUUUAAUCAUGAGGCUUUGUGAUGAUUCAUGUCUGUGUUAAGGUGCUAGCGUAGCUGAUUCAGAGCUGCUAAUGAGUAGAUGUGUUGUUCUACUUGUUUGUCUUCAUCCAACUGAGCAACUCAAACGUAACCAGCUUAGUGCAUACACAGCAUCUUUGUACUAUCCAUCACAUCUACUGUGCAGGCAUACAAAGCAGACACACAUCCUGCUACCUGAUUUGUUUUACACAAAUCCUGAACUCAAAAUGAGCAGGACGCGCUGUGGUUUAGGCGCUGGCAGGCUCUGGUGAGUCUGUGUUUAAAGGCAAAGAAAGGAUGGAAAGAUGACUGCAAUGUAAAAAUGAAAUUAAAGAUGUCCAGGUUUCGGUCCCCGGGACAAGUCACAGCUUUGUUGGAUUGUUUUGUACCGCCGCUGUUUCAUGAAAUGUAUUCCUGGCUGCCCUACAGUGGAUUUGCUUCUGACCUUUGACCUCUCUAACCAACACAAGUGUAUCAAAGCUGAGCCCUCCCUUUGAGGACCCGCAUGGACGUUAUAGAUGUAAUGUCGCCCUCUUGUGUGUGAAUAUAAAAUUGCAGGAUUAAUAUACGAUGUCUUUACAAAACACUGUCUGGUGAAUUUCAGCACUUCUCAGUGUGAGAUCGUAACAUCGGAUGUGGGCAGCUGUUAGAUGGCUCCGCCCUCCAAAGCCUCCACCUCUCUGCAGCACCGACAGCGUAAAGACUUUGUAACCUGGAGGCUCCGAUCGUGGGACACACCUCUGAUCAUCUGACACCCAUGUUUCAAACACCUGGGAGGGCCGCUGGGACAAUGCAUGUACUGUUAGAUUUGUUGUCAUGACGACCUUGCUGGUUAUGUAAGCACUGGGCUCUGGUUCCCACAAACAGUGGUGCACGCAGGUCUUUGUGCUGUGACACUAGAAACCACACACACAGUCACAGUUUGUACAUUCCUCCAGCUGCUCACAUGUCACCCUGCAGCGACUGCAACGAGACAUUUAACCCUCAGAGAUGAUCCAAACCUUAACCCUGUGCUAUCAGCAUGUGUGCUUAAGGUGAGGGCUGUGGCCGACUCGGGGCUGAUACUUUGUUGCAGUUUAACAUCAAGAAUUUGGGUGGCACAGUUUCUUUCAGUAAUUCAGUAAAUUUGUUUCAGUUCCCACCAAAACUGAAGUAAGCUUGCUGGUUUUCUUGGAUUUUUGCUGAUUUCUUGAGCUUGGCCACAAUUUCUCUGGUUGGCUGUUAGUUUCACAACUCCUCCAGUCUGCAUGUUGAGAUGUCAUGUGUGCCACAGGCACAGUACUUUGAGUAAUAAGUGCUAUAGUGAUGCAGUUGGUUAAACUAGCAGGUUCCUCUCUGUAACCUUGAUUGAAUCCAAAGAUUUCGUGACCCUAAAGCAGACUCACAUUUACCAGCUUCUCUGUUGCUCAGGUGCUUCUUCACAUGCUCUGUCUCUCUGGCAACAGCCUGGAAAUGCUGCUGCUCUGGACCAACAACAAUAAAUGUGUGUGUAGAGGUACCCAUGUGUCCGUCUGUACUGAUGGAGCUGAUGUGCCACAUAGAUUUGGCUCUGUAAAGUUAAAUGACGUUGAGCAUACUCAUGUACAUAUCCAUCCAUUCACACUGGUUUUCCUCUCUUACGUCAUGUGGUUCUGUUUUUCUUCUUCCCCUCUGUGUCUGUGGAAGGUGGCAGGUCGUGAGCGUAGACUGACGUGGACUAGAGUGAGUGCUCGUCAUUAUGCUUGUGAUGUCUGAGAGAGCACAAACGCCGUUCACAGUAGCCUCUAUGCAUUCCUCCUGUGGCAGGCGUCCCUGUCUUAUGCUGUCAGCCUCACUUUUUAUGUGACGUCUGUUCUGUUUGAAUUCAUCUUCAUUGCUGGAAGCAAGUAUUCAGGUGCCAGCUGCUCAUGAUGCUGGACUGGCAUAGCAACAGCAGCAAAAAGAAGAGCUGUCACACAGUGCACAGAGCGCAGCAGGGCUGAGAUCACCGUGAUGAGCAGGGCAAAGCCUGCCUCCUCUCUACGACUCACAUUAGACAAGUUGUCCAAAAAUGGUCCAACAGAGAAAAAGUGAAGGUUGAAGGAGAGAGAUCACAGAAAGUCGAUGACAAGCAGCUACAGGGUCACCUAGGCAACUGGAGCCUGGAAUGUCCGCUAGCAACCAAUCGUCAGCUUCAAAGCAAUGCACGACAGCUCGAUGACUUCCUGUGUGGAUGAAAAGUGUUAUAGCUCAUGUUCACAUGCAGUGAAUGCUGAUUCUGAUGGUUGUUUUAAAGUUUGAGGGGUUUUCCAAGUGAAUGUUUGCAGGUAUCCACACAGACUUCAGACAGGCCUGCCUUUAAGUCCUAAAUUUUAAAAUAGUAGACAACUUUCUGUGCUAGAGGUAUCAUAUAUGCAAUGAUAGCAAUAAUAUUUUAAAAUUUAAUAAUACAAAUAAAAAGCUGGUAGUUGUUCUUUUUGUACAUGGUUAUAGGAUUUUCAGUGUAGUUCCCUUGCUUCUGUAGAUUUGAUAAUGAUACCAUUACAUUUCCUUUGUUUUUGCUCAUAGUUGUGGAGUGAAAAUGUAAUAAUGUGACAGUAAAUAUGGAAU